UGGUUGUAAAGAUUUUCAAGAUCUUUGGGUUUGAAUGACAACAUUUGAGUUGGUGGAGAAAGAAAGUGUAAGGGGGAGGCGUUAAAAGUUUGGAAACAUUAAGUAAGAGCUUAAACAACCCUUUUUUUCUGGUUUUGGAGUUGAAUGUAUAUUAAUGAGUUCAUGCAAUUGCAUUUUUUUUCUUUUUUGGGUGAAACAAUUAUCUGUAGGGCAAUUAUUGACAUGACUAUGUACAAUUGCAUGUUGAGAUUAUUCAUUUGUCUGUAUUGAAGAGAAC
Molecule: long non-coding RNA, 277 nt
Filed under: Prunus persica (peach)
Lineage: Eukaryota; Viridiplantae; Streptophyta; Magnoliopsida; Rosales; Rosaceae
Description: long non-coding RNA (PPER_LNC007271)
Source: RNAcentral